Molecule: ribosomal RNA, 253 nt
Filed under: uncultured bacterium
Lineage: Bacteria
Description: partial 16S ribosomal RNA
Rfam family: Bacterial small subunit ribosomal RNA
Source: RNAcentral
UACGAAGGGUGCAAACGUUGCUCGGAAUCAUUGGGCGUAAAGCGCACGUAGGCGGCUCCAAAAGUCGGAUGUGAAAUCCCUGGGCUCAACCGAGGAAGUGCAUCCGAAACUGCGGAGCUUGAGUAUGGAAGAGGGUCGCGGAAUUCCCGGUGUAGCGGUGAAAUGCGUAGAUAUCUGCAGGAACACCCGUGGCGAAAGCGGCGCGCUGGACCACUACUGACGCUGAGGAACGAAAGCUAGGGGAGCAAACAGG